GAUGAACGCUGGCGGCGUGCCUAAUACAUGCAAGUCGAGCGAACAGACGAGGAGCUCGCUCCUUUGACGUCAGCGGCGGACGGGUGAGUAACACGUAGGUAACCUACCUAUAAGUCUGGGAUAACUUCGGGAAUCCGGAGCCAAUACCGGAUAAUAUUUCGAACAGCAUGGUUCGAUAGUGAAAGAUGGCUUUGCUAUCAUUUAUAGAUGGACCUGCCCAAUAUUAGCUAGUUGGUAAGGUAACGGCUUACCAAGGCAACGAUACGUAACCGACCAGUAAGAAUAAACGGCCCAACUGGUACGUGAGCGCACUCCAUACACCAACAGAAAACAACAGUAGAGAUUCUUCCGCAAUGAGCGAAGACCUAGCGGAGUAACGCCGCUUGAGUGAUGAGAGGCUUCUAAUCGUAAAUCUCUGUUAUUAGGAAAAAACAAAAGUGUAAAUAACUAUGCACGUCUUGGCGGAUCCUAGUCAGAAAGUCACGGCUAACUACAUA
This 497-nucleotide ribosomal RNA is filed under the name uncultured bacterium. Its description in RNAcentral is "partial 16S ribosomal RNA". It matches the Rfam family "Bacterial small subunit ribosomal RNA", at positions 28 to 507 of the family's 1533-position model. The record is from RNAcentral.